This 218-nucleotide long non-coding RNA is filed under the name Capsicum annuum. RNAcentral's name for it is "long non-coding RNA (CANN_LNC007686)". The record is from RNAcentral. Lineage: Eukaryota; Viridiplantae; Streptophyta; Magnoliopsida; Solanales; Solanaceae.
AGGAAGGCUCAGGAUAGGCUCUAAUAUUUAUGAUCCCGAAGACAGAGGGGUGAUGAAUAUAGACUCGCACUUGAUCAUGACUUACAAGGAUCCCCAGAGUACCAUCCAAAAUCUUAUUUUGAUGAGGGCAGAGAUGAUGAUGAUGAUGCCACCUAGCGUUAUACUUCUUGCCCUAUUGUACUUUUAUAUUCCCUAAAAAGAGCCAUAUGGCCCACCCC